CGAAAGGGGCUAGCGUUGUUCGGAAUUACUGGGCGUAAAGCGCAUGUAGACGGCUUGGCAAGUCGAGGGUGAAAUCCUGGAGCUCAACUCCAGAACUGCCUUCGAUACUGCUUGGCUGGAGUAUGGAAGAGGUAGGUGGAACUGCGAGUGUAGAGGUGAAAUUCGUAGAUAUUCGCAAGAACACCAGUGGCGAAGGCGGCCUACUGGUCCAUCACUGACGCUGAGAUGCGAAAGCGUGGAGAGCAAACAGGAUUAGAUACCCUGGUAGUCCACGCCAUAAACGAUGAGAGCUAGCUAUUGGAGGGUUUACUCUUCAGUAGCGCAGAUAACUCGAUAAGCUCUCCGCCUGGGGAGUACGGUCGCAAGAUUA
Molecule: ribosomal RNA, 370 nt
Filed under: uncultured organism
Description: bacterial SSU rRNA
Rfam family: Bacterial small subunit ribosomal RNA
Source: RNAcentral